This is a long non-coding RNA of Culicoides brevitarsis, 905 nucleotides long. RefSeq lists it as uncharacterized. The record is from RefSeq and is a predicted model, not a curated record. Lineage: Eukaryota; Metazoa; Arthropoda; Insecta; Diptera; Ceratopogonidae. The transcript is spliced from 4 exons.
CUCAUUCCGAAUCACAAAGCGUGUGCAAGAUCUUCGAAAUUUCCAAGUUUUCGUAGUGUUUCCGCCGCGAAAGUGCCCGAAUAUGGUUCCGGUAAUCGCCGUAAGUAAAAAGUGUGCAUUGAAAAGGACAGCCGUAACAGAAAAAAGCAGUCAAUAACUUAACUCCUUAAAGGAUUGUGGUUGUGGAUCCAAAGAUGCAGCAACUUGAUACCAAAGGGAAACAAAACUAUACUUUAUAGGUCAUCAUGACCGUCAGCUCAUGUAAAAUUUUGUUAAUUUUUGUAGAGCUGGCUUUUGCCAUAUUUGCAACAACCACGACAAAAGCUGUUGAUGUUAAAAUUUCAACAACUCUCAACAAAGUCUCUUUGGGAUGCCAAAUGUUGGGAUGUUUCCAGCAUCCGGAAUGGUUCAUCUGCCUUCUCAUAAAAUGGUUCUGCCUCCUGGAAUGGCUCAUUCAUCACCCGGAGUGUUGGCUUCUCCCGGAAUGUUGGCUUCUCCUGGAAUGUUGGCUUCUUCCGGGAUUGUUGGUUUCAUACCAGUGCCUCAACAGCAAAAGUUUCAGCUUAUACCGAUUCCUCAGUCGCAAAUGAUUCCACCGACUUCGUCUGUUGCGCUUAUGGCAAACAAUGAGGAUUGGAACCGAAAAUAGGACUUGCUUUAUUAGAUCGAAAUUCAGAUGAAAGUUUGAAAUCAUGCAAACUAAAUCUUCAAGCUUACGUACAAUACUCAUCAGCUACAUUACUCAGAAAGUGACAUUCAAAAAUUCAUUUUGUAAUUAUUAAAAAUUUGACAAUAUAAAUCAAACUCAAAUUCUCUUUACCCCUCACUUUAAACAUACUAUACAUUCAUUCGUUACUCAGAAUCAUCAUUCGUUCGUCUGCUUUGUAUGCAACCGUCCAAUCAGA